CCUUGACCUUGUGAUAUUUGAAAGGUUAAGUGGUCCUGAGUUGAAUGGUGGUUAUCCCAUGUCUCUACGACUUCCGGUUCUCAAGUUUGGUAUUGCAUCAUAUAUUUGAUGAUUAAUUUUGACCUUGGUGAACUUUGAAAUUGUCCCAAUUCUUUUCUAUAAUGUUGUCCUUUAACUGUAGAUCACUUAUCAUUUAACAGAAUUCAGAUAUCUAUUGUCGUUUUAGAGAUAAUGCAGUUUAAACUUUUGCGAACGGCGGCAUGUAUUUCUGAAUCAACAACAGCUUUCCACUAAAAAUGAUUGAAAAAUUGAAGAGGUUAACAUAGUUAUAUGUUUGACCAAAUACCGAAAAACAUUCCAUGAAAAAA
Molecule: long non-coding RNA, 368 nt
Filed under: Mytilus galloprovincialis (Mediterranean mussel)
Lineage: Eukaryota; Metazoa; Mollusca; Bivalvia; Mytilida; Mytilidae
Source: RNAcentral